GAUUAACGCUGGCGGCGUGCAUAACACAUGCAAGUCGAACGAUGAAACUUUAAUGAACCCUUCGGGGAGAAUUAAAGCGGAUUAGUGGCGAACGGGUGAGUAACGCGUGAGUAACCUGCCUUACACAAGGGGAUAGCCUUUGGAAACGAAGAAUAAUACCCUAUAAAACCAUAAAAGCACAUGCAAUUAUGGUCAAAGUGAUAGCGGUGUAAGAUGGACUUGCGUCUGAUUAGCUAGUUGGUGAGAUAAAAGCCCACCAAGGCAACGAUCAGUAGCCGGCUUGAGAGAGUGUACGGCCACAUUGGGACUGAGACACGGCCCAGACUCCUACGGGAGGCAGCAGUGGGGAAUUUUGCACAAUGGGGGAAACCCUGAUGCAGCGACGCCGCGUGAUUUAGAAGGCCUUCGUGUUGUAAAAAUCUUUUGUAUAGGAAGAAAAUGACAGUACUAUACGAAUAAGGUCCGGCUAAUUACGUG
This 477-nucleotide ribosomal RNA is filed under the name uncultured bacterium. RNAcentral's name for it is "partial 16S ribosomal RNA". It matches the Rfam family "Bacterial small subunit ribosomal RNA", at positions 28 to 507 of the family's 1533-position model. The record is from RNAcentral.